UAAGGAAUAUUGGUCAAUGGACGCAAGUCUGAACCAGCCAUGCCGCGUGAAGGAUUAAGGUCCUCUGGAUUGUAAAACUUCUUUUAUCUGGGACGAAAAAAGGCGAUUCUUCGUCACUUGACGGUACCAGAUGAAUAAGCACCGGCUAACUCCGUGCCAGCAGCCGCGGUAAUACGGAGGGUGCAAGCGUUAUCCGGAUUCACUGGGUUUAAAGGGUGCGUAGGCGGGCAGGUAAGUCAGUGGUGAAAUCCUAGAGCUUAACUCUAGAACUGCCAUUGAUACUAUCUGUCUUGAAUAUUGUGGAGGUAAGCGGAAUAUGUCAUGUAGCGGUGAAAUGCUUAGAUAUGACAUAGAACACCUAUUGCGAAGGCAGCUUACUACGCAUAUAUUGACGCUGAGGCACGAAAGCGUGGGGAUCAAACAGGAUUAGAUACCCUGGUAGUCCACGCCCUAAACGAUGAUUACUCGACAUUUGUGAUACACUAUAAGUGUCUGAGCGAAAGCAUUAAAGUAAUCCACCUGGGAAGUACGACCGCAAGGUUGAAACUCAAAGGAAUUGACGGGGUCAUAGCUGUUUCCUG
This 581-nucleotide ribosomal RNA is filed under the name uncultured bacterium. Its description in RNAcentral is "partial 16S ribosomal RNA". It matches the Rfam family "Bacterial small subunit ribosomal RNA", at positions 355 to 1376 of the family's 1533-position model. The record is from RNAcentral.